This 928-nucleotide long non-coding RNA is filed under the name Marmota monax (woodchuck). Lineage: Eukaryota; Metazoa; Chordata; Mammalia; Rodentia; Sciuridae. The record is from RNAcentral.
GUGCAGGCGAAGAAUGUCAGUCCCUCUGAUUGCUGGCCGCCGGGCCCAACAGGGCGCGGGAAGGCCCGGGACAGAGCCAGGGAUCCCAGGGAUCUGGGUUUCAGGUCAUUCUCUACCAAGGCCAAGAGCAUGCCAGUGACCGGAGGACCUCAGCCUCUCUGUCCAUAAAGUAGGUCCCUGGGGUCCUGUGGCCAGGCAUGGACGAGGGGCAGGGAGUGAGGAGGCAGUAACCCUGCCAGAGGCUGCCAGAGGCUUUGCCGCUCAGGUGUCAGCGUGUGAAGGCACGGUGGCCUCCGCACAGGGACGCCCUGCCAGACUGCCCGUCCUGCAAAGGUGGUGUCCGGUGAGGUCUGCCACAGACCCGCGCGCCCUUCUGUGUUCUGGUCAGCAGCGGUCUCGGGCGGUGCUGUGAGCAGGGGAGCCUGCCAGUCAGCGGCUCCCACAGCAGUGUGUGUAGUCCUGACUCGUACACCGUCCCAGGCUGGGCGGGCUGCGAAGAGGCCAGGCCAGGAGAAGGAGCCCCUCUCCGUGCUGAGAGACAUGCCCGGGCCAUGCGUUGCAAGGCCAGGAGGCCAAGGCACCCGGUCAGCAGGAGAGAUGCUGAGCCAGCUCUGGGCGGCCUGGAGCAACCAGGGGAGGCUUCCAGGAAGAGGCAGGGGACCAUGGACAGGACUGGGAGAGUCACCAGUGGAAGGAGGUGGCUCUGGAAGAAGGAAAGACUUGAGGCUCUGCAGGGGACUCGAGGAGUGAGGGCCCUGGUCCUCCUCUCAGUAGGACAGGCCAGAAGUCCUGGCUCCAGCAUGUGAGAGGCGCUCCCCUCUUGCCCUCAUGUUGGGGCCUGUCCAGCAAAGUGCCCGACUCUGCAGACCCCAGGGCUGCCUGUGCUCCAGGUGUGAGCCUGGUGAAGACUGGAGGUGGGAGGUCUAUG